UUGAAAGGGAAACGAUUGAAGUCAGUCGUACCAGCGGGAAAUCAACCUUUCGAGUGGGGUUUUGGAGUUUUGAAGAGUGUCAAAACCUUCGAGAUCUCAAAAUGUUCGCUCUUUUGGUGUACUUUCUCGCAGGUAGGUUAACAUCGAUUCUGAUCAUCAUAAAAGGAUUGGAGGAAUGUAGCUUCGAUCUCGUAUUGAAGUGUUAUAGCCUUUGGUAAAUGUGAUGAUUGGGAUCGAGGAUUGCAACGAAUACCCUUUUGGGCUAUCCGCCUGAUCUCUGAUACGUGGCCUUGGUAUUGAAGGCGUGCUUAUGGUAUCAAGGUAUUACGGUCAAAAGGUUAGAACGGAUUACAUUCGUUAAGGAUGUUGACGUA
This 374-nucleotide ribosomal RNA is filed under the name uncultured Glomeromycotina. RNAcentral describes it as "LSU rRNA". Lineage: Eukaryota; Fungi; Glomeromycota. The record is from RNAcentral.